ACGGCGCACGGGUGCGUAACACGUGGGUAAUCUGCCCUCUGAUGGGGAAUAACUCGCCGAAAGGCGAGCUAAUUCCGCAUAACAUUCCGAGAACUCCGGUUUUUGGAUUCAAAGGCGUAAGUCGUCGGAGGAGGAGCCCGCGCACGAUUAGCUAGUUGGUGAGGUAAUGGCUCACCAAGGCUUUGAUCGUUAGCUGGUCUGAGAGGAUGGCCAGCCACACUGGAACUGAGACACGGUCCAGACUCCUACGGGAGGCAGCAGUGGGGAAUCUUGCACAAUGGGCGAAAGCCUGAUGCAGCGACGCCGCGUGGGGGAUGAAGCUUCUCGGAGUGUAAACCCCUUUCGACCCGGACGAAUGCCCUGCAAGGGGACUGACGGUACGGGUAUAAGAAGCCCCGGCUAACUACGUGCCAGCAGCCGCGGUAAGACGUAGGGGGCCAGCGUUGUUCGGAAUUACUGGGUGUAAAGGGUUCGUAGGCGGUGUGGCAAGUCGGGAGUGAAAUCUCUGGGCUCAACCCAGAGACUGCUUCCGA
Molecule: ribosomal RNA, 533 nt
Filed under: uncultured bacterium
Lineage: Bacteria
Description: bacterial SSU rRNA
Rfam family: Bacterial small subunit ribosomal RNA
Source: RNAcentral